RNAcentral lists this ribosomal RNA (305 nucleotides) under uncultured bacterium. Its description in RNAcentral is "partial 16S ribosomal RNA". It matches the Rfam family "Archaeal small subunit ribosomal RNA", at positions 455 to 760 of the family's 1478-position model. The record is from RNAcentral.
ACAGCAGCCGCCGCGGUAAAACCAGCACCUCGAGUGGUCAGGAGGUUUAUUGGGCCUAAAGCAUCCGUAGCCGGUUGCAUAAGUUUUCGGUUAAAUCUAUGCGCUUAACGUAUAGGCCGCCGAAAAUACUGUGCAGCUAGGGAGUGGGGGAGGUACACGGUACUCGAUAGGAAGGGGUAAAAUCCUUUGAUCUAUUGAUGACCACCUGUGGCGAAGGCGGUGUACCAGAACACGUUCGACGGUGAGGGAUGAAAGCUGGGGGAGCAAACCGGAUUAGAUACCCCCGUAGUCCCUGUCUCUUAUAC